This 348-nucleotide ribosomal RNA is filed under the name Newportia stolli. Its description in RNAcentral is "partial 12S ribosomal RNA". The record is from RNAcentral. Lineage: Eukaryota; Metazoa; Arthropoda; Chilopoda; Scolopendromorpha; Scolopocryptopidae.
AUGAAUAAUUAAAAGUUAAAUUAUGGGAGUAACAGAGGUUCUCGAAAUUAAAAGAACUUGGCGGUAAACUAGUCUACUUAGAGGAAUCUGUACUAUAAAUGAUAUCCCCCAAAAAUCUUACUUGAGCAUUGCUUGUAUACCGCCGUAUUUAGAAUAACUAUAAGAAAGUUUUUUCGUGAGUAUAGAAGAUUAAGAAUUCAGGUCAAGGUGCAGUUUAUGUUUAAGAAUGAUAUGGAUUACAAUAAAAGGAAUUAAAAUGAAUAAACUCAUUGAAAAGUGAGGUUGAAGGUGGAUUUAAAUGUAAAUUUUACAAAACAAUGGAAAGUUGAAUAAGAGUUAGUUUUAUGC